Molecule: long non-coding RNA, 509 nt
Organism: Mastomys coucha (southern multimammate mouse)
Lineage: Eukaryota; Metazoa; Chordata; Mammalia; Rodentia; Muridae
Exons: 4
Source: RefSeq, a predicted model, not a curated record
CUUGUUCAGAGUUCUCUGGUGGCCUUUUGUAUCUUCUCUCCAUUCAUGAGCUAUGGUUUCUUUACUUGUCAACAAGAGGUGAAAAUAUAUAGACCAAAGACAGAUCAGUCGCAUUGUUGACUUUCAGCCAAGUGUUAGGAAGACCCUAGUGACACAGCUCAGUCAAGAUUUUCAUGUAGCGUCCUAGUGGGUGCAUGAAGGGGAAGCCAGGCUUUAGGAGUGGAGGUCUGGAAGGAGUGCGUGAGAUGCAGAAGGGGCGGCCUGCAGUUUCCUGACACAUACUGGACACCUGGCUGAUGGAAUCUGAUGAGCUGCCAAGUCACAUUGGUGGGAUGUGACUCAGAGAAGGGAGCCACACACGUGACAGCUUGGUGGCAUUUGUCUUGAUGAAAUGCUUACACUUGAUAGACUGUUGGAUUACCACUGUUACUGCAAAAGAUGAGCUAAUGGCACUCGCUUUGAUUCAUACUAUACAAAAACAGGAAAAAAAAUAAAACAAAUCUAUAAAA